GACUUGAUGCUCCUUGAUCAACCUCAAGAUCACUCCUACCAAAGUUGCAUCCAUCUUCUGAUGUCCCAUCCUUGAUCUGAUCAACCUCAAGAUCACUCCUACCAGAGUUGCAUCCAUCUUCUGAUGUCCCAUCCUUGAUCUCAUCACGUAAGCCACUUUUGGCUAAGGACACCUCUUCAACCCUCUUGGGUUUAGUGAACGUCUUGUUCACCUUUUUGGCCAUGUUUCUGCUCCUCUCACGAGCAAAACAUUCCACCUUCUUGUCUCCAAACUUCCCACAUAAUCAACAGCACAUCUGAUGUUGCUUCUUGCUUUGCCUGACACAGUUGCUGGUGCACCGA
Molecule: long non-coding RNA, 341 nt
Filed under: Brassica napus (rape)
Lineage: Eukaryota; Viridiplantae; Streptophyta; Magnoliopsida; Brassicales; Brassicaceae
Description: long non-coding RNA (BNAP_LNC021081)
Source: RNAcentral